Molecule: ribosomal RNA, 811 nt
Filed under: uncultured Alphaproteobacteria bacterium
Lineage: Bacteria; Pseudomonadati; Pseudomonadota; Alphaproteobacteria
Description: bacterial SSU rRNA
Rfam family: Bacterial small subunit ribosomal RNA
Source: RNAcentral
CAAGUCGAACGCGUCUAGCAAUAGACGAGUGGCGGACGGGUGAGUAACGCGUGGGAACCUGCCCUUGAGUGCGGGAUAACCGAGGGAAACUUCGGCUAAUACCGCAUGCGCCCCCAGCGAUGGGGGGAAAGAUUUAUCGCUCGAGGAGGGGCCCGCGUCGGAUUAGCUAGUUGGUGGGGUAAUGGCCUACCAAGGCGAUGAUCCGUAGCUGGUCUGAGAGGAUGAUCAGCCACACUGGGACUGAGACACGGCCCAGACUCCUACGGGAGGCAGCAGUAGGGAAUAUUGGACAAUGGGGGCAACCCUGAUCCAGCAAUGCCGCGUGAGUGAUGAAGGCCUUAGGGUUGUAAAGCUCUUUCGCGCGCGACGAUGAUGACGGUAGCGCGAGAAGAAGCCCCGGCUAACUUCGUGCCAGCAGCCGCGGUAAUACGAAGGGGGCGAGCGUUGUUCGGAAUUACUGGGCGUAAAGGGCGCGCAGGCGGCCGAUCAAGUCAGGCGUGAAAGCCCCGGGCUUAACCUGGGAAUUGCGCUUGGGACUGGUUGGCUUGAGUUCGGGAGAGGAGAGUGGAAUUCCCAGUGUAGAGGUGAAAUUCGUAGAUAUUGGGAAGAACACCGGUGGCGAAGGCGGCUCUCUGGACCGAUACUGACGCUGAGGCGCGAAAGCGUGGGGAGCAAACAGGAUUAGAUACCCUGGUAGUCCACGCUGUAAACGAUGUGCGCUAGACGUUGGAGGGCGUAGCCUUCCGGUGUCGCAGCUAACGCUUUAAGCGCACCGCCUGGGGAGUACGGCCGCAAGGUUAAAACUCAAAGG